This 358-nucleotide unclassified non-coding RNA is filed under the name Hevea brasiliensis (rubber tree). The record is from RNAcentral. Lineage: Eukaryota; Viridiplantae; Streptophyta; Magnoliopsida; Malpighiales; Euphorbiaceae.
AAAAAAUAAAAAAUAAAAAAAACACAGGUGUGUGUGUGCGUGUGUGUCCAAAUCAUGAAAGAUAUCCCACAAUAAAUGAAGAUAUCCAAUUUUUUAAAUAUAGAGUAAAACCAAACCAAUAAAACUUAAAGUGUGACUUUUUUUUAUAAAUUUAAGAGUUUUUAAUUAAUUGGAUAAGAUUUAAUUAGAGCUAAUCUAAACCCAUUAAGAAAUCAAACCCAUUAAUUGGAAAUUUUUAUUAAGAAACCAAAUCCAGAUGGCAGAUGCUGAUUAGAGAAAAUGAAGAUUUUUACAAAAACGCAAAUGCCCACUUUUAGCCUAAAAGCCAACCAUUGAUGAAGAAAGCAUGGGAAGCUUA